GGGGAUAUAGCUCAGUUGGUAGAGUGCUUGCCUUGCAUGCACAAGGCCCUGGGUUCCAUCCCCAGCAUCAUUA
This 73-nucleotide transfer RNA is filed under the name Ictidomys tridecemlineatus (thirteen-lined ground squirrel). RNAcentral's name for it is "Spermophilus tridecemlineatus (thirteen-lined ground squirrel) tRNA". It matches the Rfam family "tRNA". Rfam says of the family: Transfer RNA (tRNA) molecules are approximately 80 nucleotides in length. Their secondary structure includes four short double-helical elements and three loops (D, anti-codon, and T loops). Lineage: Eukaryota; Metazoa; Chordata; Mammalia; Rodentia; Sciuridae. The record is from Rfam by way of RNAcentral.